Molecule: small RNA, 80 nt
Filed under: Arabidopsis thaliana (thale cress)
Lineage: Eukaryota; Viridiplantae; Streptophyta; Magnoliopsida; Brassicales; Brassicaceae
Description: ATSL156990
Source: RNAcentral
UGAAAAUCAUGUUCAUCGCCAUCUUCGUCUUUAGCUUUUGAAGCAGUCUUCUCAAGCAAACCUUUUCUUUUAUCACCUGA